Molecule: small nuclear RNA, 105 nt
Organism: Sarcophilus harrisii (Tasmanian devil)
Lineage: Eukaryota; Metazoa; Chordata; Mammalia; Dasyuromorphia; Dasyuridae
Source: Ensembl
GCGCUUGCUACAGGAGCACAUAUACUAAAAUUGGAAUGAUCACAGAGAUUUGCAUGGCCCCUACACAGGGAUGAUACGCAAAUUCAUGAAGCAGUCCAUAUUUUU